UCCCGCGUGGUCUAGCGGUUAGGAUGGCUGGCUCUCACCCAGGCGGCCCGGGUUCGACUCCCGCGCCGGGA
Molecule: transfer RNA, 71 nt
Filed under: Echinostoma caproni
Lineage: Eukaryota; Metazoa; Platyhelminthes; Trematoda; Plagiorchiida; Echinostomatidae
Rfam family: tRNA
About the family: Transfer RNA (tRNA) molecules are approximately 80 nucleotides in length. Their secondary structure includes four short double-helical elements and three loops (D, anti-codon, and T loops). Further hydrogen bonds mediate the characteristic L-shaped molecular structure. tRNAs have two regions of fundamental functional importance: the anti-codon, which is responsible for specific mRNA codon recognition, and the 3' end, to which the tRNAs corresponding amino acid is attached (by aminoacyl-tRNA synthetases). tRNAs cope with the degeneracy of the genetic code in two manners: having more than one tRNA (with a specific anti-codon) for a particular amino acid; and 'wobble' base-pairing, i.e. permitting non-standard base-pairing at the 3rd anti-codon position.
Source: Rfam by way of RNAcentral